UAGAAAUUUCAUGUAAAAAGGCAGAGCACAAGAGAGAGAGAGGAUGAGGAAGAACAAGCUUUUCUUGGCACCUACCAACUCUUUCCCCCGAUCGAUCACGAGGCCUAAAAGCUCGAAUUUAAGUUACAAUGCAACCUCCUAAAGAGGUACCCCUGAUUUGCAGUGCAAGGAAAAAAUUCUUCUUCAAAGUGUGGUUGCCCCGGAUGGUGCGACUACGAAAGACAUAACCCCAGAAAUGUUUAACAAAGAGGAUGGUAAGGUCGUGGAAGAGUUCAAGAUGAGGGUCAUUCACAUUCCUGCUAACCCCCCAUCACCGGUCCCUGAAGAACCUGAAGAAGAUUCUUCUCCCAGGGCAUCAGUGCUUGAGAAUGGGCAUCAAAUCGUUCAUUGUUUGAUGCUGUACGUUUUA
Non-coding RNA from Corylus avellana, 409 nucleotides. Lineage: Eukaryota; Viridiplantae; Streptophyta; Magnoliopsida; Fagales; Betulaceae. The record is from RefSeq and is a predicted model, not a curated record.